RNAcentral lists this long non-coding RNA (370 nucleotides) under Gossypium raimondii (Peruvian cotton). RNAcentral's name for it is "long non-coding RNA (GRAI_LNC002735)". The record is from RNAcentral. Lineage: Eukaryota; Viridiplantae; Streptophyta; Magnoliopsida; Malvales; Malvaceae.
GACUGGCAAGGGAAAAUGUCGCUUCGAUGGUACGAUCGACGGGCAAAAGAUGCGGAACGAGUUUGGGUUUUGUUAGAGAUUUGAAGGUGAGGGAAAAAUGUAGUAGGCGAUGGUUAAGUGUGAAGGAAUAGAGAAAAGGGAAGGAUAAGGUGAGGGGAUGAUGGUAAGCAAAGGGUAACCGAGGAUGGUGUUGAGGUCAGGAAAGAGAAAGGGGGAAAAAGGUAUGAAUAGAGGAGAGGCCGAAAGGAGAACCGUGAGUGUGUGGUGGCAACGAAGAGGGCGUGUGAUGACUUGAAAGGGCAGCAAUGCUUGGAAUGAUGGGGAGAGUGAAAAAAGUGAAUGACGAUUAGGGUUUUGGGUAGGAAAAAAC